Molecule: transfer RNA, 68 nt
Filed under: Florometra sp. BMK-2020
Lineage: Eukaryota; Metazoa; Echinodermata; Crinoidea; Comatulida; Antedonidae
Also listed under: 1 other name
Description: tRNA-Ser
Source: RNAcentral
GAAAUUUAUAGGAUUAACAAUAGUUUGCUAAGCUUGUUGUUUUGCGGUUCAAGUCCGUUGAAAUUUCG